ACGAACGCUGGCGGCGUGCUUAACACAUGCAAGUCGAACGGAAAGGCCCUGCUUUUGUGGGGUGCUCGAGUGGCGAACGGGUGAGUAACACGUGAGUAACCUGCCCUUGACUUUGGGAUAACUUCAGGAAACUGGGGCUAAUACCGGAUAGGAGCUCCUGCUGCAUGGUGGGGGUUGGAAAGUUUCGGCGGUUGGGGAUGGACUCGCGGCUUAUCAGCUUGUUGGUGGGGUAGUGGCUUACCAAGGCUUUGACGGGUAGCCGGCCUGAGAGGGUGACCGGCCACAUUGGGACUGAGAUACGGCCCAGACUCCUACGGGAGGCAGCAGUGGGGAAUAUUGCACAAUGGGCGGAAGCCUGAUGCAGCAACGCCGCGUUCGGGAUGACGGCCUUCGGGUUGUAAACCGCUUUCGCCUGUGACGAAGCGUGAGUGACGGUAAUGGGUAAAGAAGCACCGGCUAACUACGUG
RNAcentral lists this ribosomal RNA (467 nucleotides) under uncultured bacterium. RNAcentral's name for it is "partial 16S ribosomal RNA". It matches the Rfam family "Bacterial small subunit ribosomal RNA", at positions 29 to 507 of the family's 1533-position model. The record is from RNAcentral.